This is a non-coding RNA of Crassisporium funariophilum, 90 nucleotides long. The record is from the annotation of a GenBank genome assembly. Lineage: Eukaryota; Fungi; Basidiomycota; Agaricomycetes; Agaricales; Crassisporiaceae.
GCCUUCGUAGCACAAUGGUCGUGCGUUGCUUUCCUAUUUGAAGUGUAAACCUUCAGGCAAAGGUUGUGGGUUCGAGUCCCAUCGACGGUU